GCACCAGUGGGGAAUUUUGGACAAUGGGGGCAACCCUGAUCCAGCAAUGCCGCGUGAGUGAAGAAGGCCUUCGGGUUGUAAAGCUCUUUUGUCAGGGAAGAAACACCGGCUCUAACACAGUCCGGGAAUGACGGUACCUGAAGAAUAAGCACCGGCUAACUACGUGCCAGCAGCCGCGGUAAUACGUAGGGUGCGAGCGUUAAUCGGAAUUACUGGGCGUAAAGCGUGCGCAGGCGGUUAUACAAGACAGGCGUGAAAUCCCCGGGCUUAACCUGGGAAUGGCGCCUGUGACUGUAUAGCUAGAGUGUGUCAGAGGGGGGUAGAAUUCCACGUGUAGCAGUGAAAUGCGUAGAUAUGUGGAGGAAUACCAAUGGCGAAGGCAGCCCCCUGGGAUAACACUGACGCUCAUGCACGAAAGCGUGGGGAGCAAACAGGAUUAGAUACCCCUGUAGUCC
Molecule: ribosomal RNA, 455 nt
Filed under: beta proteobacterium SCGC AAA041-A07
Lineage: Bacteria; Pseudomonadati; Pseudomonadota; Betaproteobacteria
Description: bacterial SSU rRNA
Rfam family: Bacterial small subunit ribosomal RNA
Source: RNAcentral